This 626-nucleotide long non-coding RNA is filed under the name Elaeis guineensis (African oil palm). RNAcentral's name for it is "long non-coding RNA (EGUI_LNC002463)". Lineage: Eukaryota; Viridiplantae; Streptophyta; Magnoliopsida; Arecales; Arecaceae. The record is from RNAcentral.
CCGUGCUUUCUCUCUCCUUGAGAGAGGAGGCGAGCAAUCGAUCUCCUCCUCCUCUCUCUCUUUCCCUUUUUUUUUCUUUUUCUUCUCCGGCUUCUCCUCCUCCUCCUCCUCUUCUUUUCAUUUCGUAUGUUGAGGCGAUGAUUAUAGAUGGCUCGCGAAGGGAUUGUUCUUCUUCUCCCAUUCUUUGUAUGCCUCUUCUCCCUUCUUCUCUAGCGAUAGGGCGAGCAGCAGCCAUUGUUAGUUGGGGAGGAGAAGAAGACACGGUGGGAUCUUUUUCCUAGAUCGGCUUAUAGCUUUCUUUCUCAAGAUUGGUUAGUCUUCUCUUUUUUCUUCUCCCUCUACUUGUUCUUGGAGUUCCAGGUGAUAAUGGCAGCGACGUCGUGCUUCUUGUUAUCUUUUUCUCUUUCUUCUUUUAUGUUUCUUCUCUCUUGCUUUUUCCGUUCUUCUUUGUUUCCCAAAUUGGAAGAGCGGCAUUGCUUUUAGAUUCUAUAAAGGAGGCCGUGAUGAUUCUUGGACGAGUGGUUUUGCGACGUUUGGUGCAAAAAAUGACUUGACGGCGAGGCAAUCUUGGAUGGUCUACUGCUGUUCUUCUACAGGCAGCCGUUUGCAGCCAAUUUGAUUUAUUA